GUGGUCCUCAAAGGCACUUUUUCGUGAAACCAUGUCCCUACAGAAUGAUUCUGCCUGGGCAACAUGGGCCAAAAAGCACCAGCUCUGCUCCCAAGUCCUUGAGGAAUCUCACAGGACUGGCAAGAAAAGAAAAAACACCAUGAGUGUUUUGGCUCUUGGACAGGAGCUCUUACCACGAGAUCUGUGGCCACGCUGCAUGGACUGUUUCCAAGAGCUCAGUAAAAGCUGUUAUUCCCCACAAGAAAUCCGUGGAGAAGGAUGGCCACUGCGGCCAAAAGCCAGUAAGACAAAGAUCUUUCCUCUGGUAUUAACAGCUCCCUCUCUCUAAUUCUUCUUAAAUAAGUAAAGGAGAUGCUAAAUUUACAACAUACUUUGCUAACAGCCAAGAGAAAGUUGGAGGGUGUUAAAACAUCCAACUCCUUCGUGCUGGUUUGGGAAUCCCAGCCUCCGAGUGACUUUUUCGAGCCCUUCUUCCUAUCCUGGUGUUAGCUAAAACCGGGGAAAAUCCGCCRGCGGCUGAACAGGUCUGCCUGGGGGCCCAGCAGCCGUGCCGGGGGCUUGCCGUCGCCGCCUGCCCUGCGCGCUGGGCAGGAGCCUGGGAACAGGCGCCUUGGGCCGUGGGCAGCGCCGUGCCUGCCGUCACCUCGGCCUCGGGGACACCGGGAGGGCACAUUUCCAUCGCCCCGUGCCCCCGGUGUAUCUACGUGUGAGGAAUGAGGAGAUUAAAAAACAGGGAGCCAGGAAACUGCCCAGUGCUAGCCAUGAGAUCCCACAAAGCGGACGAGCCAAAACGUGGCAUUUUUAUAGUGCGUUGUUUGAAAAUUCCUGCUGUGAGCACAGCCAGGAGAACGAGCACAACCGCUGAACCAGAAAGGGAGUUUUAUCACUGCCUGCAAACUCCAAGCAGAAUAACUCAGGUUGAAAGGGACCCGGGCGCAAAGCAGGGCUAACUCUGAAGAGUUGUCCAGGGCUUUGCACAGUCACCUCCCAAAGCUCUCCAAGGAUGGUGACUCCACCACCUCCCUGGGCAGCCGGCGCCAGUGUUACCCACCCUCCUGGGAAAAACAUUUCCCAUAUUCCCAACAGGGAUUUCCUUUGCGACUGUGGCUUCUUGUCCCUCUCUUUGCACCUCCAAGAAGAACCUGGCUCCACCAUCUCCGUAACCCCUUCAAGAAGCUGAAGACUUUGAGCAGGUCUCCUGGGAGCCGUCCCUUCUCUGGGGGAAGGACCUGGGCCCUGGGCGCCCCAUGGUCCCAUGGCUUGGCUCACCCCACCGUGCCACAGACCCCAGCCAGACACAGCGCCCCAGGAGACAGCGGGCAACCAGC
RNAcentral lists this long non-coding RNA (1328 nucleotides) under Apteryx rowi (Okarito brown kiwi). RNAcentral's name for it is "lncRNA (ENSARWG00000014338.1)". Lineage: Eukaryota; Metazoa; Chordata; Aves; Apterygiformes; Apterygidae. The record is from RNAcentral.